This is a small nuclear RNA of Ochotona princeps (American pika), 160 nucleotides long. Its record names the gene U2. It matches the Rfam family "U2 spliceosomal RNA". From Rfam's summary of the family: U2 is a small nuclear RNA (snRNA) component of the spliceosome (involved in pre-mRNA splicing). Complementary binding between U2 snRNA (in an area lying towards the 5' end but 3' to hairpin I) and the branchpoint sequence (BPS) of the intron results the bulging out of an unpaired adenosine, on the BPS, which initiates a nucleophilic attack at the intronic 5' splice site, thus starting the first of two transesterification reactions that mediate splicing. The record is from Ensembl. NCBI's taxonomy places the organism in Eukaryota, Metazoa, Chordata, Mammalia, Lagomorpha, Ochotonidae.
AUCACUUCUCGGCCUUUUGGCUAAGAUCAAAUGUAGCAUAUGUUUUUCUCAGUUUAAAGUCUCUGUUUGUGGGAAGGCUACCUAGAGGCAGAAUCCAAACCCCCAAAAGGCAAACACUGUUAAGGGUGGGUGCACUGGCUUCAGAGGCAGAGAAACCCAA